Molecule: long non-coding RNA, 485 nt
Filed under: Salmo salar (Atlantic salmon)
Lineage: Eukaryota; Metazoa; Chordata; Actinopteri; Salmoniformes; Salmonidae
Description: lncRNA (ENSSSAG00000107646.1)
Source: RNAcentral
UACGGAUGGUCUCAGAUAACCCUGGAGACGCGCACACACACACACCACGCUCAUUCAAGACUGACAAGGACACUGGGUCUGGUGAAACGUCCAUGCUGCAUCUGCAUGACAACCAUGUGAUCCCAAUCAGUUUCAUGGGAAUGUGCAUUUUGAUCUUCUUGAAUGAUGACCUGAGCCCUAGGACCAUGCCUCAGGACUACCUGGCUUGAUGACUCCUUGCUGUCCCCAGUUCACCUGGCCGUGCUGCUGCUCCAGUUCCAACUGUUCUGCCUGCAGCUAUGGAACCCUGACCUGUUCACCGGACGUGCUACCUGUCCCAGACCUGUUGUCCCAGAACUGCUGGAACCCUGACCUAUUCACCGGACGUGCUACCUGUCCCAGACCUGCUGUUUUCAACUCUCUAGAGACAGCAGGAGCGGUAGAGAUACUCUCAAAGAUCGGCUAUAAAAAAGCCAACUGACACUUACUCUUGUGUUACUGACUUG